UGUAGGACUUUACCCAGAAGGGAGUCCUUCCAAAAAUUCUCAAAGGCUUGAGUUGAACCCAAGCCUAAGAGGGGGUUUGGAAAUAGUUUUCAACCAGCAAUAGACGCGCCUCGGUUAGUACCUCACUAGCUGCGUCAUUGCCCCAAGCGCAAAGAUAGUUAUAACAUUGAACAAACUUCCUUUCAUAUAUAACUUCAAAGUCAUCUAAUAUCUCUCAUUAGCAGUGUGGGACUAGGAAAUUUUACUGUGAAGUCCUCAACCAUCAUUCUUGUCCAUAAACAAAUCUAACAACUAAGACAAUCAAAUAUUAAAC
This 313-nucleotide long non-coding RNA is filed under the name Lathyrus oleraceus (garden pea). RNAcentral's name for it is "Pisum sativum (pea) long non-coding RNA (PSAT_LNC007714)". The record is from RNAcentral. Lineage: Eukaryota; Viridiplantae; Streptophyta; Magnoliopsida; Fabales; Fabaceae.